GGAUGUAAGGAAGAGCAUCCUGCAACAUCUGUCACUGACUUGAUCACCUGGGUUGAUUAGAUUGAUGUGGAUGGCUAUACACGUGUCCUCUUCUUCCUCACGGCUCUAUGUGUGGCUCUCCCAAAGCUGGACAUUUGGUCACAGAGGACAACCAUUCCUGAUAGAGGAGGACCAUUCUUCAGUCAAGGACAUACCGGCAGCUUGCACGCCCCUGCUAGAACCUAUAAUCUCUCAAGAAAUUCACUGAAGGCACGGGGGAAAAAUGAUGUGAUGGGGCUAGUUGCUGGUGGAGGAAAUUGGCCCAAAUGCUCAUUUGUUUUGAGAUUUCUUU
Non-coding RNA from Dipodomys ordii (Ord's kangaroo rat), 331 nucleotides. The record is from Rfam. Lineage: Eukaryota; Metazoa; Chordata; Mammalia; Rodentia; Heteromyidae.